Non-coding RNA from Sarcoptes scabiei, 46 nucleotides. NCBI's taxonomy places the organism in Eukaryota, Metazoa, Arthropoda, Arachnida, Sarcoptiformes, Sarcoptidae. The record is from Rfam.
AUAAAGGUCCUUUUGAGGACCACAAAUUUUAUCGAUGAAGAGCAAU